This is a non-coding RNA of Heterocephalus glaber (naked mole-rat), 352 nucleotides long. The record is from RefSeq and is a predicted model, not a curated record. NCBI's taxonomy places the organism in Eukaryota, Metazoa, Chordata, Mammalia, Rodentia, Bathyergidae.
CGAAGUCAUUGAAAGAGAGGUGUAUUCGACUUCCCGGGUCGGAGAUGAUAGUCCAGAUACAAUUUAAAUUAUUUCCAUACCCUUCCGGGUAAUCUGGAGAAAGAACUGUUCCCAUCGGUGCAGUAAAGUUGGAGAGACAAGGAACUGAUCCUGACCAGGACAUGAGGAAUUGUUUAUUGCCUGUAUGUUCGUGCAGUAGACAAAGAAACAAAAUGAGGAAGAGGUGCUGCAAUAAAUGAAGGGAAGUCCGAAGCAACAGGCAGAGAACUCAGAAUGCAUUCAUUCGGUGUGUUGAGACUAAUAUUGGAAAUAUAGGUUUAUAUAGCAAUGGCUGAAAUUUGCAGAAACAGGG